CCUACGGGAGGCAGCAGUGAGGAAUAUUGGUCAAUGGCCGUAAGGCUGAACCAGCCACGUCGCGUGAAGGAAGAAGGCUCUAUGGGUUGUAAACUUCUUUUGUAAGGGAAUAAACGUAGAUACGUAUAGCUAUUUGAAUGUCUCCUACGAAUAAGGAUCGUCUAACUCCGUGCCAGCAGCCGCGGUAAUACGGAGGAUGCGAGCGUUAUCCGGAUUUAUUGGGUUUAAAGGGUGCGUAGGUGGUCGGGUAAGUUAGUGGUGAAAGAUUGGGGCUCAACCUGGAAAUUGCCGUUGAUACUGGUCGGCUUGAGAGUAGUUGAGGUAGGCGGAAUGUGUGGUGUAGCGGUGAAAUGCUUAGAGAUCACGCAGAACACCGAUUGCGAAGGCAGCUUACCAAGCUAUUUCUGACGCUGAGGCACGAAAGCGUGGGGAGCAAACAGGAUUAGAUACCCCGGUAGUC
Molecule: ribosomal RNA, 460 nt
Filed under: uncultured bacterium
Lineage: Bacteria
Description: partial 16S ribosomal RNA
Rfam family: Bacterial small subunit ribosomal RNA
Source: RNAcentral